This is a non-coding RNA of Mycena latifolia, 95 nucleotides long. NCBI's taxonomy places the organism in Eukaryota, Fungi, Basidiomycota, Agaricomycetes, Agaricales, Mycenaceae. The record is from the annotation of a GenBank genome assembly.
GACCCGGUAGCGGCCGGUACCGCGCUCGCGCCUUGUGAAAAGCCGCCAUAUCAAAAGUGCUGCGGGUGGUCCUGGUUCGACUCCAGGCUGGGUUA